RNAcentral lists this ribosomal RNA (433 nucleotides) under uncultured bacterium. RNAcentral describes it as "partial 16S ribosomal RNA". It matches the Rfam family "Bacterial small subunit ribosomal RNA", at positions 29 to 507 of the family's 1533-position model. The record is from RNAcentral.
AACGAACGCUGGCGGAAGGAAGAACACAUGCAAGUCGAACGAGACCUUCGGGUCUAGUGGCGCACGGGUGCGUAACGCGUGGGAACCUGCCCUUAGGUUCGGAAUAACUCCCCGAAAGGGGUGCUAAUACCGGAUAAUGUCUUCGGACCAAAGAUUUAUCGCCUUUGGAUGGGCCCGCGUUGGAUUAGCUAGUUGGUAGGGUAAAAGCCUACCAAGGCGACGAUCCAUAGCUGGUCUGAGAGGAUGAUCAGCCACACUGGGACUGAGACACGGCCCAGACUCCUACGGGAGGCAGCAGUGGGGAAUAUUGGACAAUGGGCGAAAGCCUGAUCCAGCAAUGCCGCGUGAGUGAUGAAGGCCUUAGGGUUGUAAAGCUCUUUUACCCGGGAUGAUAAUGACAGUACCGGGAGAAUAAGCGCCGGCUAACUCCGUG